Molecule: long non-coding RNA, 813 nt
Filed under: Olea europaea subsp. europaea
Lineage: Eukaryota; Viridiplantae; Streptophyta; Magnoliopsida; Lamiales; Oleaceae
Source: RNAcentral
UGGAAUGCGUUAGGACGGUUGCAAACAGGGGUGGAGCCAGGGUUUAUAUCCAGUGCGGGCACAAUUUUAUUAUAUAUCGACUGCAGUGAUUUUUUUAGUCCGCUUUUUAGUCCCUACUUCUCUGGCUGUUGCUACUAUUUCUCACUCUAGUUCCCAAUUAUGCUAAUGGCAAUGCCAAUCAAAGCAGCUGGAAGAGUCAUCAGUUAUUAAAAAUUCAUAAUACAGGGGCACAAUUUUAGCAAGAAUCAUCUACAAGUAUUAAAAUAUCAAGCCUCCAAAAAUUUACAGAAAAUCAUCCAAAAAUUUUCACAGAAUCAAUGUCCAGUGACUUAAAUCUCCAUAUUUUAUGAUGACUAUAAGAAAUCAUAAAUUAUAAACCUCAGCAAGCUCACAAUCAUAAAGCAUAAAUCAAAAUCAUAAAUUAUUCCCUAAUAAAAAUGGCAUAAAAAAUGAACUAAAAAAAAAAAGAGAUAGAAAGGCUUACAGGCUACAUCAGUGGUGGCGGAGAGUGGAGGCCCGGCGUCGGCGACUCAGUGGCAGUAAGUACAACUCACAAGGACAAGGUUGCAGACAGCUUGGUGUCGUCGAAUUGAUGGCCUCAAGGGCAGUAGUGGGAGAGAGAGACAUAGGGAUAGGGUUGAUUAUCUGAUUGGGUUUUCGGGAAAUCAUUUCACCAAACAAGAUAUACCAUGAAAAUGGGCUCAUUUAAAAACAAAAAAAAAAAGGCCCAACAAAAAAGUCUUGCAGGCUAGAAUUUUUUUUAAAAAAUUGGCCCAAAAAUUCACCUCCCUUCUUCUUCCAGCUUCCACUUUG